CCUACGGGUGGCAGCAGUGGGGAAUAUUGGACAAUGGGGGCAACCCUGAUCCAGCCAUGCCGCGUGUGUGAAGAAGGCCCUCGGGUUGUAAAGCACUUUCAGUGAGGAAGAACGCCUGGUGGUUAAUACCCAUCAGGAAAGACAUCACUCACAGAAGAAGCACCGGCUAACUCCGUGCCAGCAGCCGCGGUAAUACGGAGGGUGCGAGCGUUAAUCGGAAUUACUGGGCGUAAAGCGCGCGUAGGUGGCUUGAUAAGCCGGUUGUGAAAGCCCCGGGCUCAACCUGGGAACGGCAUCCGGAACUGUCAAGCUAGAGUGCAGGAGAGGAAGGUAGAAUUCCCGGUGUAGCGGUGAAAUGCGUAGAGAUCGGGAGGAAUAACAGUGGCGAAGGCGGCCCUCUGGACUGACACUGACACUGAGGUGCGAAAGCGUGGGUAGCAAACAGGAUUAGAUACCCUUGUAGUC
RNAcentral lists this ribosomal RNA (465 nucleotides) under Vreelandella stevensii. Its description in RNAcentral is "partial 16S ribosomal RNA". It matches the Rfam family "Bacterial small subunit ribosomal RNA", at positions 338 to 795 of the family's 1533-position model. The record is from RNAcentral. Lineage: Bacteria; Pseudomonadati; Pseudomonadota; Gammaproteobacteria; Oceanospirillales; Halomonadaceae.